RNAcentral lists this ribosomal RNA (472 nucleotides) under uncultured bacterium. RNAcentral describes it as "bacterial SSU rRNA". It matches the Rfam family "Bacterial small subunit ribosomal RNA", at positions 355 to 825 of the family's 1533-position model. The record is from RNAcentral.
UGGGGAAUUUUGGACAAUGGGCGCAAGCCUGAUCCAGCCAUGCCGCGUGCGGGAAGAAGGCCUUCGGGUUGUAAACCGCUUUUGUCAGGGAAGAAACGCUCUGGGCUAAUACCCUGGGGUAAUGACGGUACCUGAAGAAUAAGCACCGGCUAACUACGUGCCAGCAGCCGCGGUAAUACGUAGGGUGCAAGCGUUAAUCGGAAUUACUGGGCGUAAAGCGUGCGCAGGCGGUUAUGCAAGACAGAUGUGAAAUCCCCGGGCUCAACCUGGGAACUGCAUUUGUGACUGUAUAGCUAGAGUACGGUAGAGGGGGAUGGAAUUCCGCGUGUAGCAGUGAAAUGCGUAGAUAUGCGGAGGAACACCGAUGGCGAAGGCAAUCCCCUGGACCUGUACUGACGCUCAUGCACGAAAGCGUGGGGAGCAAACAGGAUUAGAUACCCCAGUAGUCCCUGAGCGGGCUGGCAAGGCGCAU